CAGGUGGUCAGGUAGAGAAUACCAAGGCGCUUGAGAGAACUCGGGUGAAGGAACUAGGCAAAAUGGUGCCGUAACUUCGGGAGAAGGCACGCUGACACGUAGGUGAAGUGAUUUACUCAUGGAGCUGAAGUCAGUCGAAGAUACCAGCUGGCUGCAACUGUUUAUUAAAAACACAGCACUGUGCAAACACGAAAGUGGACGUAUACGGUGUGACGCCUGCCCGGUGCCGGAAGGUUAAUUGAUGGGGUCAGCGCAAGCGAAGCUCCUGAUCGAAGCCCCGGUAAACGGCGGCCGUAACUAUAACGGUCCUAAGGUAGCGAAAUUCCUUGUCGGGUAAGUUCCGACCUGCACGAAUGGCGUAAUGAUGGCCAGGCUGUCUCCACCCGAGACUCAGUGAAAUUGAACUCGCUGUGAAGAUGCAGUGUACCCGCGGCAAGACGGAAAGACCCCGUGAACCUUUACUAUAGCUUGACACUGAACAUUGAGCCUUGAUGUGUAGGAUAGGUGGGAGGCUUUGAAGUGUGGACGCCAGUCUGCAUGGAGCCGACCUUGAAAUACCACCCUUUAAUGUUUGAUGUUCUAACGUGGACCCGUAAUCCGGGUUGCGGACAGUGUCUGGUGGGUAGUUUGACUGGGGCGGUCUCCUCCUAAAGAGUAACGGAGGAGCACGAAGGUUGGCUAAUCCUGGUCGGACAUCAGGAGGUUAGUGCAAUGGCAUAAGCCAGCUUGACUGCGAGCGUGACGGCGCGAGCAGGUGCGAAAGCAGGUCAUAGUGAUCCGGUGGUUCUGAAUGGAAGGGCCAUCGCUCAACGGAUAAAAGGUACUCCGGGGAUAACAGGCUGAUACCGCCCAAGAGUUCAUAUCGACGGCGGUGUUUGGCACCUCGAUGUCGGCUCAUCACAUCCUGGGGCUGAAGUAGGUCCCAAGGGUAUGGCUGUUCGCCAUUUAAAGUGGUACGCGAGCUGGGUUUAGAACGUCGUGAGACAGUUCGGUCCCUAUCUGCCGUGGGCGCUGGAGAACUGAGGGGGGCUGCUCCUAGUACGAGAGGACCGGAGUGGACGCAUCACUGGUGUUCGGGUUGUCAUGCCAAUGGCACUGCCCGGUAGCUAAAUGCGGAAGAGAUAAGUGCUGAAAGCAUCUAAGCACGAAACUUGCCCCGAGAUGAGUUCUCCCUGAGACUUAGAGUCUCCUGAAGGAACGUUGAAGACGACGACGUUGAUAGGCCGGGUGUGUAAGCGCAGCGAUGCGUUGAGCUAACCGGUACUAAUGAACCGUGAGGCUUAACC
RNAcentral lists this ribosomal RNA (1286 nucleotides) under Salmonella enterica subsp. enterica serovar Typhimurium. RNAcentral's name for it is "partial 23S ribosomal RNA". It matches the Rfam family "Bacterial large subunit ribosomal RNA", at positions 1660 to 2925 of the family's 2925-position model. The record is from RNAcentral. Lineage: Bacteria; Pseudomonadati; Pseudomonadota; Gammaproteobacteria; Enterobacterales; Enterobacteriaceae.